GACUAAUGUUGAAAAAUUAGCGGAUGACUUGUGGCUGGGGGUGAAAGGCCAAUCAAACCGGGAGAUAGCUGGUUCUCCCCGAAAGCUAUUUAGGUAGCGCCUCGUGAAUUCAUCUCCGGGGGUAGAGCACUGUUUCGGCAAGGGGGUCAUCCCGACUUACCAACCCGAUGCAAACUGCGAAUACCGGAGAAUGUUAUCACGGGAGACACACGGCGGGUGCUAACGUCCGUCGUGAAGAGGGAAACAACCCAGACCGCCAGCUAAGGUCCCAAAGUCAUGGUUAAGUGGGAAACGAUGUGGGAAGGCCCAGACAGCCAGGAUGUUGGCUUAGAAGCAGCCAUCAUUUAAAGAAAGCGUAAUAGCUCACUGGUCGAGUCGGCCUGCGCGGAAGAUGUAACGGGGCUAAACCAUGCACCGAAGCUGCGGCAGCGACGCUGAUGCGUUGUUGGGUAGGGGAGCGUUCUGUAAGCCUGCGAAGGUGUGCUGUGAGGCAUGCUGGAGGUAUCAGAAGUGCGAAUGCUGACAUAAGUAACGAUAAAGC
This 541-nucleotide ribosomal RNA is filed under the name Escherichia coli. RNAcentral's name for it is "bacterial LSU rRNA". It matches the Rfam family "Bacterial large subunit ribosomal RNA", at positions 781 to 1318 of the family's 2925-position model. Lineage: Bacteria; Pseudomonadati; Pseudomonadota; Gammaproteobacteria; Enterobacterales; Enterobacteriaceae. The record is from RNAcentral.